ACAAGCGGUGGAUGAUGUGGUUAAUUCGAUGCAACGCGAAAACCUUACCCACCUUUGACAUGGCAGGAAUCCCGAAGAGAUUGGGAGUGCUCGAAAGAGAACCUGCACACAGGUGCUGCAUGGCUGUCGUCAGCUCGUGUCGUGAGAUGUUGGGUUAAGUCCCGCAACGAGCGCAACCCUUGCCAUUAGUUGCUACGAAAGGGCACUCUAAUGGGACUGCCGGUGACAAACCGGAGGAAGGUGGGGAUGACGUCAAGUCCUCAUGGCCCUUAUAGGUGGGGCUACACACGUCAUACAAUGGCCGGUACAGAGGGUAGCCAACCCGCGAGGGGGAGCCAAUCCCACAAAGCCGGUCGUAGUCCGGAUCGCAGUCUGCAACUCGACUGCGUGAAGUCGGAAUCGCUAGUAAUCGCGGAUCAGCACGCCGCGGUGAAUACGUUCCCGGGCCUU
This 450-nucleotide ribosomal RNA is filed under the name uncultured Allobrachymonas sp. Its description in RNAcentral is "bacterial SSU rRNA". It matches the Rfam family "Bacterial small subunit ribosomal RNA", at positions 925 to 1382 of the family's 1533-position model. The record is from RNAcentral. Lineage: Bacteria; Pseudomonadati; Pseudomonadota; Betaproteobacteria; Burkholderiales; Comamonadaceae.